Molecule: ribosomal RNA, 253 nt
Filed under: uncultured bacterium
Lineage: Bacteria
Description: partial 16S ribosomal RNA
Rfam family: Bacterial small subunit ribosomal RNA
Source: RNAcentral
UACGUAGGGCGCGAGCGUUGUCCGGAUUUAUUGGGCGUAAAGAGCUCGUAGGCGGCUUGUCGCGUCGGCUGUGAAAUCCCGUGGCUUAACUGCGGGCUUGCAGCUGAUACGGGCAGGCUAGAGUUCGGUAGGGGAGACUGGAAUUCCUGGUGUAGCGGUGAAAUGCGCAGAUAUCAGGAGGAACACCGGUGGCGAAGGCGGGUCUCUGGGCCGAUACUGACGCUGAGGAGCGAAAGCGUGGGGAGCGAACAGG